Molecule: ribosomal RNA, 254 nt
Filed under: uncultured bacterium
Lineage: Bacteria
Description: partial 16S ribosomal RNA
Rfam family: Bacterial small subunit ribosomal RNA
Source: RNAcentral
UACGGGGGGGGCAAGCGUUGUUCGGAAUUACUGGGCGUAAAGGGCUCGUAGGCGGCCAACUAAGUCAGACGUGAAAUCCCCAGGCUCAACCUGGGAACUGCGUCUGAUACUGGAUGGCUUGAGGUUGGGAGAGGGAUGCGGAAUUCCAGGUGUAGCGGUGAAAUGCGUAGAUAUCUGGAGGAACACCGGUGGCGAAGGCGGCAUCCUGGACCAACACUGACGCUGAGUGAGCGAAAGCCAGGGGAGCAAACGGG